GCGACCCCAGGUCAGGCGGGAUUACCCGCUGAGUUUA
Molecule: ribosomal RNA, 37 nt
Filed under: Capsicum annuum
Lineage: Eukaryota; Viridiplantae; Streptophyta; Magnoliopsida; Solanales; Solanaceae
Also listed under: 11 other names
Description: partial 28S ribosomal RNA
Source: RNAcentral